This 314-nucleotide long non-coding RNA is filed under the name Malus domestica (apple). RNAcentral's name for it is "long non-coding RNA (MDOM_LNC014473)". Lineage: Eukaryota; Viridiplantae; Streptophyta; Magnoliopsida; Rosales; Rosaceae. The record is from RNAcentral.
GAACUGGUCACAGGAGAUCGGGUUCAUGGCCAUGUCCGGGUCCUCCGCUAGCGAGUCGGACUCGUUCGACGGGAGGUAACGGUGGAGCGCGGCGAGGGAGUCGAGGAACACUGGAGAGAGCGGGGAGAAGUCUCCUCCGUUGGAGGCAUUGCCGUUAGAGUUAACGGAGUGAACGGGGAUGAGGAAGGGUGAGGUGGGGGUAUGAUCGUCAAAUGAGUCCCAGGGUGGGACUUGGAUAGUCGGGUGGAGUCGAGUCGGUUCUCCGAGCAUCAUUAUUUCGGGUGGGGUUUAGGAGUUUUGACCUUUCAGACUUC